AUACGUAGGGGGCAAGCGUUGUCCGGAAUGAUUGGGCGUAAAGGGCGCGUAGGCGGCCCGGUAAGUCUGAAGUGAAAGUCCUGGUUUUAAGUUGGGAAUUGCUUUGGAUACUGUCGGGCUUGAGUGCAGGAGAGGUAAGUGGAAUUCCCAGUGUAGCGGUGAAAUGCGUAGAGAUUGGGAGGAACACCAGUGGCGAAGGCGACUUACUGGACUGUAACUGACGCUGAGGCGCGAAAGUGUGGGGAGCAAACAGGAUUAGAUACCCUGGUAGUCCACACUGUAAACGAUGAAUGCUAGGUGUAGGGGGUAUCGACCCCUUCUGUGCCGCAGUCAACACAAUAAGCAUUCCGCCUGGGGAGUACGGCCGCAAGGUUGAAACUCAAAUGAAUUGACGGGG
RNAcentral lists this ribosomal RNA (397 nucleotides) under uncultured bacterium. Its description in RNAcentral is "partial 16S ribosomal RNA". It matches the Rfam family "Bacterial small subunit ribosomal RNA", at positions 523 to 918 of the family's 1533-position model. The record is from RNAcentral.